ACUUUGGGCGAUCUGGCUGCGACAUCUGUCACCCCAUUGAUCGCCAGGGUUGAUUCGGCUGAUCUGGCUGGCUAGGCGGGUGUCCCCUUCCUCCCUCACCGCUCCAUGUGCGUCCCUCCUGAAGCUGCGCGCUCGGUCGAAGAGGACGACCUUCCCCGCUAGAGGAGGACCGUUCUUCGGUCAAGGGUAUACGAGUAGCUGCGCUCCCCUGCUAGAACCUCCAAACAAGCUCUCAAGGUCCUCUUCAACUUUAAGGCGGAAGCUGCUGAUGGCUGCUCAUUGCUUAUUUGGAGGACAGUGGUUUAUUC
RNAcentral lists this small nuclear RNA (308 nucleotides) under Dasypus novemcinctus (nine-banded armadillo). RNAcentral describes it as "7SK RNA (ENSDNOG00000026753.2)". It matches the Rfam family "7SK RNA". From Rfam's summary of the family: 7SK was discovered as an abundant small nuclear RNA in the mid-70s but a possible function has only recently been suggested. Two independent studies have found that 7SK RNA binds the CDK9/cyclin T complex (known as elongation factor P-TEFb). P-TEFb activates transcription by phosphorylating the C-terminal domain of RNA polymerase II. The record is from RNAcentral. Lineage: Eukaryota; Metazoa; Chordata; Mammalia; Cingulata; Dasypodidae.